Molecule: ribosomal RNA, 253 nt
Filed under: uncultured prokaryote
Description: partial 16S ribosomal RNA
Rfam family: Bacterial small subunit ribosomal RNA
Source: RNAcentral
UACAGAGGUCUCAAGCGUUGUUCGGAUUCAUUGGGCGUAAAGGGUGCGUAGGUGGCGCCGUAAGUCGGGUGUGAAAUUUCGGAGCUUAACUCCGAAACUGCAUUCGAUACUGCGGUGCUUGAGGACUGGAGAGGAGACUGGAAUUCAUGGUGUAGCAGUGAAAUGCGUAGAUAUGCGGAGGAACACCGAUGGCGAAGGCAAUCCCCUGGGCCUGUACUGACGCUCAUGCACGAAAGCGUGGGGAGCAAACAGG